Molecule: long non-coding RNA, 2187 nt
Organism: Lolium rigidum
Lineage: Eukaryota; Viridiplantae; Streptophyta; Magnoliopsida; Poales; Poaceae
Exons: 5
Source: RefSeq, a predicted model, not a curated record
AGCCUCUCCCUCUCCUUCCUGACCCCUAAUUUCUCUCCCUCUCAAUCUGCCUGGCGGCAGAUAGCCGGCAGCAGCAUAGGCUACCUGGACUAGCGGCGGCGAACAGGAAGCAGUGCCACGACGACAAGGUCAAGAACUCCAGCGGCCACCUCCCCCACCGCAGGGAAAAGGAGAUCAAGCGGAUAUGGAUCCCCUUUUCCUCGCCUCAGCGUCAGCCAGGAGAAGGACGGCCUGUAUCUCCAGAUGUCCCGCCUCAACGUCAUGGAGGCCGGCCUGCUGUGAUGCCGCUCUCCUUCCGUGUCGGGGACGACGCAUGCCGUGGCUACAGGUCAUCACCUCACGCGCCUCUCUGCCCCACACCGCCACCGGCUCUUGUUCUGACUCCUCUGUUGCGCCGCCUCCUCUGCGCCAGCACCGGGCAUCAUCUUCUUUCCCACUGUGGUCGCCUCAGCAGUAGCUGCAACCGGAGGUCGUCGAGGGGGGAGGCGAACGAACAAGCAAGGCUACCGCCUCGAGAUAUACUAUGGGGUUCUCGCCCGCCUACGCGUCGACGCCGCCAUCCCGGCGGAGCUAUUGCUGGUCUUCUAGGACAUGCUCUGGGGUACUUUCGCCACCGCUCGGUACACACUGGAUGUGAACGUGGUGAGUGCAGAGGACGUGGUGACGCACCACCAGCUGCUCGAGGUCGAAAAAGGAGAAGAAUAGGUUAGUGUGGUUCCAGUAAUAUUCAACCUUUUGUCAUGAAUAUAUUGAUGGGAUGUUAUCUAGAACCUUUGCAGUAUGAGGUGCAUCACUAACCUCUGAAGCAUAGCUUGUUUCGGUUAUAUAUGACUUGAAGAUCUGACUAGCCCGCCGUCCAUCACACACCAAGAGGUCUCAUGAACAACCUAUGUCCCCUCUGUGUUAUGCAAGUUAUAUGGAGCUCAUUGCAAAAUUAAAGCGUCCUUACAUUGUGGAAUAGAAAUACUCUUGGGUGGAGAAGUGAUCCAGUUGAAGGAUUUGUAUGAUCCUGAAUGAAUUCUUUUGUUGGUGUUAUCAGGGUGCUAUGUGUGCUUUUGUGACCGGCUACUACAGGGGAGGAGACAUCUAUGUAGCUUGUGAAGUAAGCUCUCAGUUGUAUUUGAACCGUAAUGAAAUUGUGGUUAUUUUUGCUUCAUUGUAUAGAUUAGAGGCCAUUAAAAGGUCUAACGCCCAACCACUUCCUAGAAGAGGUGGUUAGUUUGUCUGUAAUAUGUGAUGUUCCUGCAAUUUCUGAUUAUUGAAAACUUUGACUCCUUGUUGUGUCCACUUUCUGCGAGCAGAAACUCUGUGUAUGCUUUGUGCAGCUCCUAAUAGAACUUGACUACUUGCAUGCUAAUCAUGUCCUUCGCUAUGUGAAGGUUGCUAUACCCAUAACCUUUAUUUGUAUCCUACUGAAAAAGCAGUUUAGCAGCCGGUUAAUCACCAUGUAUUGUAUUGUAUUGUACUGUUUUCGAUGUUUAAAUAUAUUUCUUAUUUCUUACAAAGGACAAAAAUAUAUUGCUUGGUAAGUAUGCUCUGUAAUAUCAAUGAGAAAAAUACAUGGACUAUGAACUACUUAAAAUUGCUGAUGACAAUAUCUUCUGUUUGGAAUUUUGUUGUCUGAAAUAGAUGAUUCUGCGCUGGUUAAAUUUUGGCUUUAUGCUCUUCUUGCUCUACUCUUAGGUGUUUUUCGUUCUAAGUUUAGGAACUCCCGGUUAAAUGUUGCCUUGAACUUCUUGUGGAUAUUUCAUAUGGUUCCAAGUCCAAAAUAUGGUCGCUAGGUAGGUAUUCCUUUCUAAUAUUCAGUUGUGUGUCUUAUGACUCUUAUCUCAGUGUCGAACUGUUAUAAUGGCUAAAUAUCUGCAAUCUUCAGGCUACUAGAUCUUUGAUAUGGCUGCACUGAAGCUUGCAUUCAAAGUAUUUGUAAGUAACUAUGCUGGCAUGCUCUUUUAGUUAUAGCUCCUUGUCAACUUACUAGAUUUUACCCAGUUUGAGUUUGGCAGCUCCUUCAAAGCAAAUGGCUUGUAAGAAUUACUUAUGUAACCUCAUUUAGUUUCUAUUCACAUGAUGCUGCUUGUAAUACCUUGGUCGUCUACAUUACUCCUGCCAUGGCAAUAUAUUGCAUUUUGUGAGAUUUCAUUGUGGAAUAAACAUAAAUCGAUUCUAAUGCCAUUCUCCAUGAAACCC